Molecule: long non-coding RNA, 844 nt
Filed under: Linum usitatissimum (flax)
Lineage: Eukaryota; Viridiplantae; Streptophyta; Magnoliopsida; Malpighiales; Linaceae
Description: long non-coding RNA (LUSI_LNC004311)
Source: RNAcentral
GAAAAUAAUAAAAGUUACUUCAUCUUCUUCCCUUUCUCCCUUCCCCCCUUCUCCAUCUCUGCAAUAUCUCCAUUAACGAACAACGACAAAAGCUCUAGUACCAAGCAAUUGAACAUUCUCAACGUGUCCAACACCCAAUAGCUAAGUUAGUCCAGUAAGUCUUUCAUCUAAAUUGCCUUACUUUCGGUUGUUAUUACCCAAACUUUUCCCAACUAGGGUUUUCUGUGUUGUAGAAAUCGAGGAGAUCAUGUCACAAUUGAGACGACCCCCUCCGAAGGACGAGUUCAGCUACGAUGAUGAAGAAGUGUUGUGCCAUUGCGGCUUGAGGGCUUUGAGGCGUAUUUCGCACACGUCCAGGAACCCCGGAAAGAAGUUUUGCGUCUGCCCCCGAUAUGUCUCCCAAGGUCAAAAAGGAUGUGGGUACUUCGAUUAGUACGAGGUGACGGUAGCUGCACUCAAAGACAAGCAAGAGCUAGGUGAAAUGGUGGACAGGCUGCAGGUGAACGUCUGAAAACUUGAACAAGCCAACCUAAAGUUGAAGUAAACAAUUAGAGUGGUUUGUUUGGAAAAGGAAGAUGAAGUUUGCUGGGCAUCCAAUCUGUCAAAUCGAAUGGACUAUGACACUGUUGGUGAGUUGGAAAUGCUGAAAUACAAGGUUGGUUUACUUGAGAGAAGGGGGUGUUGUAGAUAUGGCAAUAUAAACUGAGGGGUGCUAUGAUUUUAUGUAUCGAUUGUAGGGUUUGUUGCAUUGUUGAAUGUAUGUCUACUAUUAUUGUGCUAUGUAUUGGGUUUAGAGUUAUGAUUUAGAGUGAACAUCUUGUUUAUGCCACAACUAUAGUUCUAG